Molecule: long non-coding RNA, 318 nt
Filed under: Zonotrichia albicollis (white-throated sparrow)
Lineage: Eukaryota; Metazoa; Chordata; Aves; Passeriformes; Passerellidae
Description: lncRNA (ENSZALG00000016441.1)
Source: RNAcentral
UCAGUACAAGGAAAAUGGAGGCUUUCUUCAAUUAAGGACAGUUCAUUUCCACCUGUGGACUUCUAACUUCAAUUCUGAUGCUUUCAACUCUGAUGAAAAUAUAGACCAGAUCAUUCUCUGAAUAAAACUGUGAUAACUGUCAGCAGUCAUAAAAGGUUUAUGGUUUACACUCUUUGUGCAAUCCUUGGAUAUAAACAUUGUUUUUGGAUUUACCUUCCUUGGUGGAAUAAUUUUCAUGAAUUGACCCCAUUGCUGUUUGAACUGGAGAGAAGUAUUACACAGGAACUGGUGGAUACAGCCUCCAGAACGCAGAUCUGA